RNAcentral lists this long non-coding RNA (4675 nucleotides) under Canis lupus familiaris (dog). RNAcentral describes it as "lncRNA (ENSCAFG00030009871.1)". The record is from RNAcentral. Lineage: Eukaryota; Metazoa; Chordata; Mammalia; Carnivora; Canidae.
AUGGAGAAGGAGAGAGAAGAUACCCUUUACCAAAAGGAGUCACUGAGGCCUUAUGGAGAAGAAGGAGAGAGAAGAUACCUUUUACCAAAAGGAGUCGGACCAGCAGCUGUACACUUACAGUAUUGUUCGGAUUUUCUUAGAGGACCUAAGGCAGGUGGCAUCAAGCCAGCCCUCCCCCGCCUCCCUCUAGAGCCCCCUGGGAGCCGAGUGCGGGGCGCAGGCUUGAUGGCCCGGCCCGCGGAGGACAGGGCACCUCGCUGCCCAGAUGGCACCGCCGCCUGCCUUCCUGCCAAGGACGGGACAAGCCGCAAAUUUCCCGCCGACCAUGUGUGAUCUCUGUGGUCUUCCUCCCAAGCUCUUCCUCCAGCCACCCUUGACUGCAAAGGCGGCUCUACUCCUGGCUCUCCAGCACCAAGCGGCUUCAAGAAAGAGAAAAUAAGGACACUAGGCCUCUGGGCCGUGGAGUGGCCCCAUCAGGAAGCUGACGGGGAGUAAAAUGCCACCUACACGGGGCCUCUGUGUGGCCUUGAGUGAGUGUGUCCCAACGAGCUUCGGAGUUUUCACCUGGGCCACAUAGGUGCCGUGGGACAGAGCGUCCCAGGUUUCUCCGGGUGCCAAGGAACCGAGGGCCCGGGCCUGCCUUUGAGAGCUGGUACAAAGCCGUCCUCCUCCUCCUCCUCCAGGGCUGCGAGGUGGCAGGUCUUCCUCCCUCUCCUGGCACCAGGGCACCAGGCUGCAGGGACAGCGCUGGGGCCUGAGUGACAAGGAAACGAGCUGGAAAAGGCUGUUUGCAGGGAGGAGGAGCAGCCCAGAACCACCAACGCCCUGCGUGCAGGGCCCAACCCGCGCAGGGUCCCAGGGGACCUGGACCCGGACAGGGCGGCCCUGCAGAGAUGCCGAGCAUUCCUUCCAAAGGGGGGCGAGCCCAGGAAUCUGUGUUUUCCUACCGAGGCUGACCUCAGGCUCCGUCAGCCUCUGAGUCUCCACAGCUGCAUCCCUGGGCUCUAUCAGCCACCAGUCUCCAAGCCACGGAUUGAAGCGCUUUUCAACCAGGAGAUAAGGACAUUGGUUUGGCGACACACAAUAGUCUAGUCUUGUCUUUUCAAGGAAGCUGUGAUUUUUCAAGACACCAGAUUUCUAACUGUACCAACCACUUAACAUCACACACACAUGAAGUGAUGGGCAGGAGUUAAACACAUUGAUCUUCUGAACCUAUUUCCUUCCGUCUUUGCACCAUUGUUCCCUUUGUGCCCAACCUUCACGUCAUGAAGGCCACGCAGUCUCUCAAAUCCCGAGGCUACGUAAAGGAACAGUUACCCUGGAGACAUUUCUACUGGUACCUUACCAACGUGGGUAUCCAGUAUCUCCGUGAUUACCUCCACCAACCCCCCGAGAUUGUGCCUGCCACUCUGGGCCGCAGCUGACCUGAGACCGGCAGGCCACGGCCCAAAGGUCUGGAGGGAGAGCGACCUGCAAGACUCACACAAGGGGAAGCUGACAAAGACACCUACAGACGAAGCGCUGGACCCCCUGGCGCCGACAAGAAAGCUGAGGCCGGGGCUGGGCCAGCAACCGAGUUCCAGCUUAGAGGCGGAUUUGGUCGUGGACAUGGUCAGCCACCUCAGUAAAAUUGGAGAUUGUUUUGUGUUGAAUAAAUCGAUAGCCAGAAAAACAUUAAAAAAAAAAUAUAUAUAUAUAUUAGGCCAAAUUAGGUGGGUCAGUCUGGUCUGUGUUGCUUGGCAGAGGUUCAAAUCUCCUCCACCUCGGCCUUCAGAAAGUCGGAAGAAGCCAAGAUGAAUCUCAAUCUCCGUUUCAACUGUAAGUAACAAGAAAGAAAGAAAAAAGAAAGAAAGAAAGAAAGAAAGAAAGAAAGAAAGAAAGAAAGAAAGAAAGAAAGAAAGAAAGAAAGGAAGAAAAAGAAAGAAGAAAGAAAAAGAAGAAUGAGGAAAUGAAAUCAAACUUUAAAAUUUUUCUCCAGGACAAAAAAAAAAAAGAGGGUGUGUUUGUAUUCUCUCUUUUUCCUGCCUGUCCCAUUGUAUAUGAUUUCACAUCCCAAGAAUUUCUGUUACAAGUCAGACCCAGCUCUGCCUUUGAAAGAGGCAGCCAAGUGCAGUUAUGGGAACGAAGGGUAUCUCGUCUACGAGGCCAGCAUUGAGGGAUAAGCUGCGGCUCUUAAACGUUGGGGAACAGGAGUGACAAGAGCUUCCUGAAACUGUGAAGUCCUGGCCCAAGGGAUGCAGCUCAGUCACACCGUCAGGGGACUCUGGAGCAAGUGAGUUGGGGAGGGGCAGUCGCUGAGAAACACUGCAAAUUAGAGCAAAACACCUCUGGCUCUGGCAGCCUGUAGGCCUCGGGGAGGACCAGAAGCUUAGGGGGUGAAGAAGUUGAAGUCGUAAGUAUGGACAUCCUUUUAAAAAUGGUUAGAAAGGGAAAGGAAGAAAUUGAACAAUAGCUGGUGGUAGGUGUCAGGAGGAAGGAAGAUACCGUGUACCUUUUUUUUUUUUUUUAAAGAAUGGAAAGAUUUAGGGCGCCUGGGUGGCUCAGUGGUUGAGCGUCUGCCUUUGGUUCAGGGCAUGAUCCCGGGGUCCUGGGAUCAAGUCCCACAUCAGGGUCCCCGUGGGAGCCGGCUUCUCCCUCUGCCUGUGUCUCUGCCUCUCUAUGUCCCUCAUGAAUAAAUAAAUAAAAUCUUAAAAAAAAAAAAAAAAAGAAUGGCAAGAUUUAAAUGUAUUUAUGUGCUUAAAUGAAAGGACUGAUAGAGAGGUUGGAGAUUACAGGAGAACAGAAGAUGACCGGAGUCUAGGCCCCAGGAGGUAAGAGCACUGAGGAUCCAGCUCAUCGCCAGUGCGAGACCAACCAGCUUUGCAGAGGAAUAGGGAACUGUAUCCUCGGAGUCAGGAGGCAACCUGAGGAACCUUCUGGGAUAAGAGUAAAUGGACGGAGUCCUAAAGUUCCUAUACAAGUGUUGCUUGGUCGUUUGAACUUAUUUGAAGUGUUGAAAUAGGGAAUAGGACUUAGAGAAGAAAAAAAAAAUGCAUACCCAGGAAAGCUCUAGUUGUCGGAGCCCAACCAGCGGUUCCCAGAUGUUCAGGAGAAAUGGCUCUAUCUUCUCACCAAAAAAGGGCUGAUUGGAGUCCUAGCCUCUCCUCGUGGCUGCUAACUGACCCUCUUGUUAAAAACAUCCUGCACGGAUGACUUAUUUGAGGCCAGUGACCCGGUGGUUCUCCAGUGUUUCUCACGUCUGUUUUGCAUUAUAUGCGAGUCGUGCACGUAUAGCAAGAGCGAGCAGCAGGAAAGGGGGGGUGGGGGGGAAGUCCCUCGCAGUCACGCAAAGAUGUGUCUUUUAAGACCUGGUUGCCGCCCUAGCUCCCCCCAGGAUGCCCCGACAGCCCUGGCCUCCCGGCAUUCAGGGCCGCGUGUCAUCCCCUCACACACGGACUCGAGGCCGGCCCUGCGUGCCGCGGCCAGGGCAAAGGUGCAGCUUGGGGGCCGAGGCCAUAGAAGGCCGCGGAGCUUCCCCGGUGACCGGUGGGUGUCGGUAGCAGCAUCUUCACAUUUGGGGCCAGAGAAUUCUUUGCCUUGGGAGGCCGUUUUGGGUGCUGUAAGGGGUCUGAAGCACCCGGGUCUCUACCCGUUAGGGGCUCAGCUGUAAGAGACCAAUGUCCCCAGACCCUGCUGAAGGACCUCGGGGUGCGGGGUAAAGCUGUCCCCAGCUGCUGGCUCGGGGGAAAGCAGCUCCCAAACAUCGUGACACGGCUCAGGGAGGAACUGAGUGCCCCCCAGCCAAGGACGGACCCCAGGGGCCAUCACUGUAGGAAAGCCACCCGAGAGUGGGUCCAGCCCCAGACACCCGGGCUCCAGCCAAAACUGGUGGCGAACACGCGGGAGCCAGGGAGACCCCGACGGAUGGCCCCCAAAUUCUUGACCCACGGAAACCAGGGGAGAUCAUCAUGAUUGUGUUUUAAAAGCCACCCAGUUUGGGGGAGACUCGCUCAGUAGGUGCCUCGUUAGGCAUCACCCUUGAUGUUUGAAUCCCGGGGCCACACACAGGAGAUGUGCACUGUCUCCAAAAUCCUUUUUCUUUCUGGAGAGCGUUUCCCUCAGGUCCAGGUGGAGAAUGGUGAUCGGCACCACUGUCUGCUCCGCACACAGAAUUAUCCUGUGAACCUGAAUUAUUCACAGCAUUUCAGUUGGCGGGGAGAAGCAUAAACGCUAGCCCUAAGGAGUGUGGCGGGAGGGGAUGCUGGCUCCCAAGUCUUAGCUAUCGCAUCCCAAUUGUGAACUACGUUCCUGUCCCCAAAGCAAUGACAUACUUGCAGGAACCCCGGCCCUGUCUGGCCGGGUGUGUUAGACAAAGGGGGCCUCCGUUGGGCUCAGGCCAGGUCACCGCGGGAGGCAGGGGGCGAGGGACCUGGGGCGUUGUGCUGAUUCAGGCUGAUUAUCCAGGGGCCUGCCCACCUCCGUGGCCUGAAGGACAAUGACAAUAUCAUCUGCUGCCUAAAAAACCAAAUCGGGGGGCAGCCCGGGUGGCCCAGUGGUUUAACGCCGCCUUCGGCCCAGGGCCUGAUCCUGGAGACCCGGGAUCGAGUCCCAUGUCGGGCUCCCUGCAUGGAGCCUGCUUCUCCCUCUGCGUGUGUCUCUAUGAAUAAAUAAAUAAAACUUUAAAAAAAAUCGAUAU